GGAUGAGGCUUCGGCAAUGGGGGAAACCCUGACCGAGCGACGCCGCGUGGGGGAUGAAGGCCCUUGGGUUGUAAACCCCUUUUAUUCGGGAAGAAAUGUGAUCAGGUGAACAAUCUGGUCAUUUGACGGUACCGGAUGAAUAAGCUCCGGCUAACUCCGUGCCAGCAGCCGCGGUAACACGGGGGGAGCAAGCGUUGUUCGGAAUCACUGGGCGUAAAGGGCGUGUAGGCGGUUCGGUAAGUGGAAUGUG
Molecule: ribosomal RNA, 250 nt
Filed under: uncultured bacterium
Lineage: Bacteria
Description: partial 16S ribosomal RNA
Rfam family: Bacterial small subunit ribosomal RNA
Source: RNAcentral